CGGCGGACGGGUGAGUAACGCGUGGGUAAUCUACCUCGUAGUUCGGGAUAACAGGCCGAAAGGCUUGCUAAUACCGGAUGAGUUCAUGCUUAUGCAUAUAGGCAUGAAGAAAGGGCUAGCCCGCUAUGAGAUGAGCCCGCGUCCCAUUAGCUUGUUGGUGGGGUAACGGCCUACCAAGGCAACGAUGGGUAGCCGGCCUGAGAGGGUGUACGGCCACACUGGGACUGAGACACGGCCCAGACUCCUACGGGGGGCAGCAGUAGGGAAUUUUCGGCAAUGGGCGAAAGCCUGACCGAGCGACGCCGCGUGAGGGACGAAGGCCUUCGGGUUGUAAACCUCUGUCUGGGGGGAUGAGAACGGACGGUACCCCCGGAGGAAGCCCCGGCUAACUACGUGCCAGCAGCCGCGGUAAUACGUAGGGGGCUAGCGUUGUCCGGAAUUACUGGGCGUA
This 451-nucleotide ribosomal RNA is filed under the name uncultured bacterium. RNAcentral's name for it is "bacterial SSU rRNA". It matches the Rfam family "Bacterial small subunit ribosomal RNA", at positions 96 to 562 of the family's 1533-position model. The record is from RNAcentral.